AGAGUUUGAUUCUGGCUCAGAACGAACGCUGGCAGCGUGGAUUAGGCAUGCAAGUCGAACGUGAAUCCGAUGAUCAAUCCUUCGGGAGAGUGAAUCGGUGGAAAGUGGCGAAAGGGUGAGUAACGCGUGGGUAAUCUACCUCGAAGCCGGGGAUAACUCCGCGAAAGCGGGGCUAAUACCGGAUGUGGUCAUCCGUCGCAUGGCGGACUGACUGAAGGUGGGGCUCCUUCGGGACCUGCCGCUUUGAGAGGGGCCCGCGUCCCAUCAGCUUGUUGGUAGGGUAACGGCCUACCAAGGCUUACGGGUAGCUGGUCUGAGAGGAUGGUCAGCCACACUGGGACUGAGACACUGCCCAGACUCCUACGGGAGGCUGCAGUCGAGGAUCAUUCACAAUGCGCGAAAGCGUGAUGAUGCGACGCUGCGUGGGGGAUGAAGGCCUUCGGGUUGUAAACCCCUGUCAUUCGGGAAAAAUAGUUCCGCCGCUAAUACCGGCGGGACAUGAUGGUACCGGAAGAGGAAGCCACGGCUAACUCUGUGCCAGCAGCCGCGGUAAUACAGAGGUGGCGAGCGUUGUUCGGAUUUACUGGGCGUAAAGGGUGCGUAGGUGGUCUUGUGUGUCGGAUGUGAAAUCCCGCCGCUCUACGGCGGAACUGCAUUCGAAACUGCAGGACUGGAGCACAGGAGGGGAGAGCGGAAUUCUCGGUGUAGCGGUGAAAUGUGUUGAUAUCGAGAAGAACACCGGUGGCGAAGGCGGCUCUCUGGAAUGUUGCUGACACUGAUGCACGAAAGCUGGGGGAGCAAACAGGAUUAGAUACCCUGGUAGUCCCAGCCGUAAACUGUGUGCACUUGGUGUGGGGGGUAUUGACCCCCCCCGUGCCGGAGCUAACGCGUUAAGUGCACCGCCUGGGGAGUACGGCCGCAAGGCUAAAACUCAAAGAAAUUGACGGGGGCCCGCACAAGCGGAGGAGCAUGUGGCUUAAUUCGAUGCAACGCGAAGAACCUUACCAGGGCUUGACAUGUAGCUGCACGCCUGCCGAAAGGCGGGAAGCCUUCGAGGGUGCUACACAGGUGCUGCAUGGCUGUCGUCAGUUCGUGCCGUGAGGUGUUGGGUUAAGUCCCGCAACGAACGCAACCCCUGUGUUUAGUUGCCACCGUGGGUGAUGAGCCCGCGAGCACUCUAAUCAGACUGCCCGUACAAGCGGGAGGAAGGUGGGGACGACGUCAAGUCAGUAUGGCCCUUACGCCCUGGGCUGCACACGUGCUACAAUGGCCGGUACAGAGGGAAGCAAUGCCGCGAGGUGGAGCAAAUCCCCAAAGCUGGCCCCAGUUCGGAUUGGAGUCUGCAACUCGACUCCAUGAAGUCGGAUUCGCUAGUAACGGCGCAUCAGCUACGGCGCCGUGAAUACGUUCCCGGGCCUUGUACACACCGCCCGUCACAUCAUGAAAGCCGUCUGCACCCGAAGUCGCUGGGCUAACCCGCAAGGGAGGCAGGUGCCGAAGGUGUGGGUGGUGAUUGGGAUGAAGUCGUAACAAGGUA
RNAcentral lists this ribosomal RNA (1537 nucleotides) under metagenome. RNAcentral describes it as "bacterial SSU rRNA". It matches the Rfam family "Bacterial small subunit ribosomal RNA". The record is from RNAcentral.